Molecule: long non-coding RNA, 5045 nt
Organism: Doryrhamphus excisus (bluestripe pipefish)
Lineage: Eukaryota; Metazoa; Chordata; Actinopteri; Syngnathiformes; Syngnathidae
Source: RefSeq, a predicted model, not a curated record
GAGGGCAGGUGGUGUUGGUCACCGUGAAGCAGGUAAGGUUGUUGGUGGUGGUUGUGGCGACUCCGCUGACGAUUGAGAUGGUUCAAUGACUCGCCGUGCUCCAUCUCCCCAGCAGGGGCGUCACCCUCCCCCAGCGAGCACGUGGGAAGCUCCUCUUUCCUCAGCAACUUCAGGUCUUUCCCCACCAUUUCUGGAGGUGACACGCACGCCACUGAGGAGGUGGAGCCUCGGAAGCUCCGCAGCCAGUCCAAAAGUGACAAGGCCCGGCAGUCGCAUUGCCACGGGUUGUCGUUAAGGCGAAGGUACUCCAGGGCCGGCAGAAGAGCCAGGCUUGCCCCAGGUAGCUCCGUCAGUGAGUUGUUGAACAGGUACAAGGUGGUGAGGCGCCGUAGGUCAUGGAAGGCCUGCUGGUCGACCCACUGGAUGCGGUUUUGGUGCAGGAGCAGGCGGUCCAAAGCACCCAGACCCCGGAAGGUGUUCUGGUGGAGGCUCCACAGUUUGUUACCGUGUAGGAAGAGAUGGCUGAGGUUCAGGAGGUCGAUGAACAGGUCGUCCUCCAGGAACUCCAACUGGUUGUCCUGCGAGGAACCAGAGAUAGACUCUGAUCAGUCGGGAAGGUGGUCAGUUACAAUAUCAACAAAUGGUGACCUGGCAGGUUAAAAUCGAUUUCCAAUCAUUAAUAUGCAAACCUAAGCUAAGGUUACCAGGACACCAGGAGGUGUAGGAGGACAGGAGUAAGGAGUAAGCAAGCAAACGUUUGAGGUGCAUGUGUACCUGCAGGUAGAGAUACUGCAGGUUGUGGAGGCCUGCAAAGAUGGCGGGGGGCAGGCUGAGCAGGCCGCAGUGGUACAGGUGCAGGGCUUGGAGGCGGCCCAGGCCCUGGAAGGUGUCGGCCGCGAUGGCCCUCAGGUGGCGGUUGUCUCCGAGGUCCAGCUCCUCCAGACGGCGGAAUCCGUGGAAGGUGGACGGCUGAAUGUAGGAGAUGUUGUUGGAGUAGAGCCACAGCAUGGCCGUGCUGGGCGAGAAGUGUCCGCGGAGCAGCCGCUGGAUCUUGUUGUUCUGCAGGAAGACGCGUUCGCUCUGGGCUGGGAUGCCCUCGGGCACGGCGUGGAAGUUGUGUGCCUGGCAGGACACGGUGGUGGGCGACGUGUAGCAAAUGCAGUGGCGGGGGCACGGCAGUGACACGUCCAGACCGCACAGCACCAGCAGAAGCUCCAGCCCUGCAGAACCUGAGGAAGGACAGCAGGCUGGUGUUGGGAAAUCGAUGUUGUUUACAAGAGACCACAUUUAACCUUCUUCCAUGAGACAAACACACAAAAUAGAGAACCAGAACCACGGGGCGGCUAAGCAUCAGAACCACGAGGAGGAUUAAGAUGAAAGAUCCCUCCGGCCACAACUCUUCCUCCUCUUCUUCCUCCUCCUGAAGUGACAGCACUAAUCACUUCUUGUCAGGUCCAUUUGGUGCCGCCCGCCUUUGACCCGACUCGACCCGCCGGGUGAGCUAAGAGAUGACGAUAUGUGCGGACGUGUUGUUGGACUUUGCGGCACAUUGGACGGUUCUAGAAGGACUGUAUCAAGUAUUUCCUACUUUUGGUUUGAUUUUGUUUACAUGGGUCGAAACUGAACUGGGAAGUAGCGGGAAGGAAGUGGGUACCAACGUCAUGUGAGUGGGACAAAACAUAUCCAAACAUAUUACAUAUGGUGUGGUGGUGUGGUAAUACACAAACAUGAAGUACAACAACCGAUGAGUUAUUGCCUAUUUUUGACUGUAGUUUAGCGGUUUUACCUUGUCUUAAUACGCAAGUACUAACAACCUGGAAAAAGGAAGUAUGAGUAAAAGCAACAUGAAACUGGUAAUGGUGCUAAAUAUGCCGUCAAACAUAAGCUUUCAACCAUUGACAUUUAGACGUUUAAACAUUAAACAUUAAACAUACAGUGAUAACAAAUACCUGAUAUUUAAUUUCACUUCAAAUAUCACACACAAAAAGUGUAUUUUUGUAUUAAAUUACAGUAGAACCUUGCUUAGUGUCCGCCUUUUGUUAGCGUUUUUUCGGUUAAAGUCAAAAAUGCUGCCUCGGUUUGCAUACGUUUUCCGGUUAGCAUACAAUAUGGCGCACAAACGACCUCAUUAGCUUGCUAACAAAAUGGCAACCGUAACCGAAAGUCAGCUAUGUUGCACAUCUACGAUGUCAUCAGCGGUUGACUCUUAAACAAUGUUCACACAAAACACGUUUUUAUAGUUUUACAUACAGAAACAAUUCCAGAUGCAUAUAAAUUGCGAAUGAAAGGGAUAAAUGACCAUUGAAGACAUCGCUGUCCUCAAAGGCACCACGUGGCAGCGAGACACCACCUUGCUACUCCAUUUUGGGUUGUUGAGGUGAGAAAGACGACUGAAUGAAAGAACUCAUGGCAAAACAAGAAGGUGGUGUCUGUGUUGAUCUUGCUUCUCGCUUCUCUUGAAAAGUAACCUUAAGUGUUCAUUCAUUCCUUUCAUUCAUCAUUUAUAUGUAUUUCUAUGCAUAUAAAACUACUGUAUCAUUGUAAAAGUACAAAAACGUGUUUUGUGUUAACAUUAUUGGCUUUAUGGCAUGGGUUAAUUGGAUGGACAUUAUUUGUUAUGGUAAUAAUUGAUUCAGUUAGCGUCCGUUUCAGUUUGUGUCAAACCUUCUGGAAUGGAUUAAUUCAUUCAUUGAUUAAUUUUUAUUUCAUGUGCUUUUUCUUUCAUCACAUCCAUGUUUUUUGCCCGACUCCUGUACAAGCAGUAUCACAGAAUCACUGUAUUAUCAUAUUUGAAUUUUCUAUCAAUUUGAGAGCUUCCUGAAGACCAGGAAUGGAUACAUACAUAUUUGUAAUAAUAAAUCUGACUCAUAAUGCUUUUUGUUUCCGUUGAGCAUUUUACCCGGUGACCGGAUAGUAUAAGAGAAAAGUCUAUUUUUAACAUCCUAUAGUUUAACGUCCUUGUUAACUUCCUUAGAUAUUGUCAUAUUCCGGUGCAGGCUGCAUCACGUAAUCAGUAUCACAAUAAUAUCAGCUUACUAAAAGUUGAACUUUUGAUUAAUUGUAACUAUUAUAACUAUGAACUAUUAUAUUUUUCUAUCAAUGUGUUUUUCUUUCUUAAUGUACAGAGAUACGUAUCAUGAUGUAUCUCUCUUACAGUAUCUAUGGCCUAAUUCUCAUGGAUUGGAUCUCCGUAAUAAAAAUGACAUUACGCUACUUUGGGAUUGUCCUCUUAGGAACAACAAAGGAAGUCUGAAGUGUGGACCUAGAGACUGGACCCGGUUCUGAUUCUCUGAUUGGUCCCUGCAGCCCCCAUGAGUCCAGUCUAGAUUAGUUCUGUUGUUGACAGGUAAAACACAGCCACCAUGCUAACCUUUGACCUUCCUUUCCAUCUCUGUGGUUCUUCAGGUCCAAACCGCAGCAAUGCGGCAUCGCUUCCUAUUUUAAGACUUUGUUUGCUUUUUUUCUUACACCGGCUCAUGAAUAUUUCAUCGCUCACUUUAAAAAAGGGAACCAUGACAACUCUCUCACACACAGAGAACAGAACAGAACCAGUGGAGUUGGACUCACCGCGUCUGAACAUGUUGGCCCGUCUAGAAGCGUCGGUGCGGAAGCAGCAUCCUGGUAAAAGUGAUGAUUGGAUGUUUGUGGUUCCCGAGUAGAAGCAGAACACUGUAGAACUCUUUGUGACAGCGUGACUUCACGUGAUCAUCAUCCUCAUCUUCAUCACGAUGCCGUCACGUCGCCGCCCAGCUUGGCUCAAACGGUCUUCUUCUACUGAGUCCGACACACACUCACACACACACUCUCACACACACAGCUCACACAGCUGCUACGCUCUCUCUCCUCCUCACCCAUUCUCUUCAUCAGCCCUCCCUCCUCCUCUUGCUCACUCCUCCCUCCUCCUCUCGCUCUCUUUUUUGAUAUUCAACCACUGGACACUUUAGGUGCAUCAUGUAAAAACUACUGUGUUUCCCUUCUUAACAUACAUAUAGAUACAAUGGUGUGAAAAUGUGUGUGUCCCCUUCCUGAUUGCAUGUUUGCCAUACUUAAAUAUUUCAGAUCAUCAAUGCCAACACAACUGGGCGCACAAUACAGUUUUUCAAUGCAACUUUUUAUUAUUAAGGGAGAAAAAAAUCCAAACUUACAUGACCCUGUAUGAAAAAGUGAUUGCCCCUAAAGCCAAUACCCGGUUGGGCCAUCCUCAGCAGCAACAAUUGCAAUCAAGUGUUUGUGAUAACUUGCAAUGAGUCUCUUCCAGCGCUGUGGAGGAAUUUUGUCCCACUCAUCUUUGCAGAAUUGUUGUCAUUCAGCCACAUUGAAGCACCUUUUUAAGGUCAUGCCACAGCAUCUCAAUAGGAUUCAGGUCAGGACUUUGACUAGGCCACUCCAAAGUCUUCAUUUGGUUUUUCUUCAGCCAUUCAGAGGUGGACUUGCUGGUGUGUUUUGGAUCAUUGUCCUGCUGCAGAACCCAAGUUGGUUUCAGCUUCAGGUCACCAACUGAUGGCCGGACAUUCUCCUUCGGGAUUUUUUGGUAGACGCCAGAAUUCAUGGUUCCAUUUAUCACAGCAAGUCUUCCAGGUCCUGAAGCAGCAAAACAACCCCAGACCAUCACACUACCACCACCAUAUUUUACUCUUGGUAUGAUGUUCUCUUUCUUUUUCCGCCAGAUCACGUCAGACCACAGAGUAUUUUCCCAAAGGUCUUGGGGAUCAUAAUUUCUGACAAAACUGAGACGAGCCUUAAUGUUCUUUUUGUUCAGCAGUGGUUUUGGUCUUGGAACUUUUCCAUGCAGGCCAUUUGUCCAGUGUCUUUCUUAUGGUGGAGUCAUGAAUGAACACUGACCUUAACUGUGGCAAGUGAGGCCUGCAGUUCUUGUGGGGUCUUUUGUGACCUCUUGGAUGAGUCGUCGCUGCGCUCUUGGGGUCAUUUUGGUUGGCCGGACAAUCCUGGGUAGGUUCUACCACUGUUUUGUGGACAAUGACUCUCACUGUGGUUUGCUGGAGUCCCAAAGCUUUAGAAAUGACUUUAUAACCUUUUCCAGGCGG